Molecule: ribosomal RNA, 253 nt
Filed under: uncultured bacterium
Lineage: Bacteria
Description: partial 16S ribosomal RNA
Rfam family: Bacterial small subunit ribosomal RNA
Source: RNAcentral
UACGAAGGGGGCUAGCGUUGCUCGGAAUCACUGGGCGUAAAGGGCGCGUAGGCGGCGUUUUAAGUCGGGGGUGAAAGCCUGUGGCUCAACCACAGAAUGGCCUUCGAUACUGGGACGCUUGAGUAUGGUAGAGGUUGGUGGAACUGCGAGUGUAGAGGUGAAAUUCGUAGAUAUUCGGAAGAACACCAGUGGCGAAGGCGACUCACUGGCCCAUUACUGACGCUGAGGCGCGAAAGCGUGGGGAGCAAACAGG